Non-coding RNA from Xylariomycetidae sp. FL2044, 79 nucleotides. NCBI's taxonomy places the organism in Eukaryota, Fungi, Ascomycota, Sordariomycetes. The record is from the annotation of a GenBank genome assembly.
GGUUGACUGAUGUAAUGGUUAGCAUGUCAGAUUCUGAUCCAAUAUUCUGGAUAUCUGGGUUCAAUUCCCAGGUCGACCU